AACGAACGCUGGCGGCAUGCCUAACGCAUGCAAGUCGAACGAGACCUUCGGGUCUAGUGGCGCACGGGUGCGUAACGCGUGGGAACCUGCCCUUAGGUUCGGAAUAACUCCCCGAAAGGGGUGCUAAUACCGGAUAAUGUCUUCGGACCAAAGAUUUAUCGCCUUUGGAUGGGCCCGCGUUGGAUUAGCUAGUUGGUAGGGUAAAAGCCUACCAAGGCGACGAUCCAUAGCUGGCCUGAGAGGAUGAUCAGCCACACUGGGACUGAGACACGGCCCAGACUCCUACGGGAGGCAGCAGUGGGGAAUAUUGGACAAUGGGCGAAAGCCUGAUCCAGCAAUGCCGCGUGAGUGAUGAAGGCCUUAGGGUUGUAAAGCUCUUUUACCCGGGAUGAUAAUGACAGUACCGGGAGAAUAAGCUCCGGCUAACUCCGUG
RNAcentral lists this ribosomal RNA (433 nucleotides) under uncultured bacterium. RNAcentral describes it as "partial 16S ribosomal RNA". It matches the Rfam family "Bacterial small subunit ribosomal RNA", at positions 29 to 507 of the family's 1533-position model. The record is from RNAcentral.